GUUUUAUAAAGGGAGAGGCAAUUCCAUUUCCUGUAAUUCUGUGCUGGCACCCAACCAAAUAAAUACUGUAAAACUCUUCACAGAAUCUGAGCAAAACUACAAUGUGGCCUCAAGAGCUAACACUGGCAUGGACUAGUUGACUUGAAAGCUUAGAGAACUCACCCUCUGGGAUUAAAGCAGUAGCCAGACAGGCAGCUCCUGCCACCACGUUUGCCACUGCCCAGGGAUAACGUCGGCCGAUUCGAUCAACUGUAAGGAU
This is a long non-coding RNA of Alligator mississippiensis (American alligator), 259 nucleotides long. RefSeq lists it as uncharacterized. Lineage: Eukaryota; Metazoa; Chordata; Crocodylia; Alligatoridae. The record is from RefSeq and is a predicted model, not a curated record. The transcript has 2 exons.